ACAUGCAAGUCGAACGAGAAAGUGGAGCAAUCCAUGAGUAAAGUGGCGACCGGGUGAGUAACACGUGACUAACCUACCUCCGAGUGGGGAAUAACUCCGGGAAACCGGGGCUAAUACCGCAUAACAUCGCAAGAUCAAAGCAGCAAUGCGCUUGGAGAGGGGGUCGCGGCUGAUUAGCUCGUUGGCGGGGUAACGGCCCACCAAGGCGAAGAUCGGUAUCCGGCCUGAGAGGGCGCACGGACACACUGGAACUGAAACACGGUCCAGACUCCUACGGGAGGCAGCAGUGGGGAAUCUUGCGCACUGGGGGAAACCCUGACGCAGCAACCCCGCGUGGAGGAUGAAGCCCUUUGGGGCGUAAACUCCUUUCGACUCGGACGAUAAUGACGGUAC
Molecule: ribosomal RNA, 393 nt
Filed under: uncultured bacterium
Lineage: Bacteria
Description: bacterial SSU rRNA
Rfam family: Bacterial small subunit ribosomal RNA
Source: RNAcentral